GUCAUGGUGGUUCACUGUUAGAAUUCUCGCCUUCUGUGUGGGAGAUCCAGGUUCGAUUCCUGGCCAAUACA
RNAcentral lists this transfer RNA (71 nucleotides) under Loxodonta africana (African savanna elephant). It matches the Rfam family "tRNA". From Rfam's summary of the family: Transfer RNA (tRNA) molecules are approximately 80 nucleotides in length. Their secondary structure includes four short double-helical elements and three loops (D, anti-codon, and T loops). Further hydrogen bonds mediate the characteristic L-shaped molecular structure. tRNAs have two regions of fundamental functional importance: the anti-codon, which is responsible for specific mRNA codon recognition, and the 3' end, to which the tRNAs corresponding amino acid is attached (by aminoacyl-tRNA synthetases). tRNAs cope with the degeneracy of the genetic code in two manners: having more than one tRNA (with a specific anti-codon) for a particular amino acid; and 'wobble' base-pairing, i.e. permitting non-standard base-pairing at the 3rd anti-codon position. The record is from Rfam by way of RNAcentral. Lineage: Eukaryota; Metazoa; Chordata; Mammalia; Proboscidea; Elephantidae.